UUGCUAGACAGGGGGCAGGGCCACGAUGACGUGAUCAUGCAGCCACGCCCCCAACCCCGCCCCUAAGCGUCAUCAAGCCGCAUAUCUACACCCCUGCUGCUCCGACCUGGCUGCCUCCUCCCGGAGGGGGCAGCCAGAUUGUCGGAAUCACCAUGGUUACGGCUGAAUGUGAAACUGCUGAUCAGAACAGCAAGACCCCUGGGUAAAAGGGAAAAAAAGAGAAAGCACUGAUGUUUCUACAUAAGGGAAAGUGCCGCAAGACUGUCAGAGCUUUGUUCCCUGGUCCAUUGGUCUUGGCAGCACUGGUCCUGCCUGGUGAGCCACAGCUGCAGCUGUUUAUCUAAACCCUCUUUGCAAAGAACUAAUACACUAUGACUGGAGAAUGCUCAGACCACCAUACAGUACCACCCACUUCCUGACCGCAGCCAAUCCCCUGCAUCCUGAGGGUUUAUGAAUCUGGCGGCUAGUAGCACAAACUGCCAGAUUAUUGUCCUUCCCUGCCUUGAUCCACUGCUCUCCUGACCUCUGCAAUUCCUGGCAAUCCUCCUGACUCUCUCUGCCUCUAGCUUUGACUACUGACAUCUCUCUCGGACCCCAGUGGCUAAUACGGAUCAAUUGCCACUGGAAUGGCUAUCAAAACAAAGUUUUUAAAAGAAGAUUUUAAAGCUAUGGUUGUUGAUAGAGUAUCUUAUGUACACGACAUGUGUUUUUACACUUUAUAUAACCUAUCACCCCCUUUUUUUUUUUUUUGCUUUAAAUUAUGUAUUUUUAUUCCAAAGUUUUUACUGCCGAAUAAGACCUACAGUUAAACCCGAAAAAAGUAUAGUACGUCUAUGAGAGUGUGCGUCGUCUCCUCUUUUUCAAAAUAAAUAAAAACUUAAAAAUA
This is a long non-coding RNA of Pseudophryne corroboree (corroboree frog), 886 nucleotides long. RefSeq lists it as uncharacterized. Lineage: Eukaryota; Metazoa; Chordata; Amphibia; Anura; Myobatrachidae. The transcript has 3 exons. The record is from RefSeq and is a predicted model, not a curated record.